This 252-nucleotide long non-coding RNA is filed under the name Malus domestica (apple). RNAcentral's name for it is "long non-coding RNA (MDOM_LNC005018)". Lineage: Eukaryota; Viridiplantae; Streptophyta; Magnoliopsida; Rosales; Rosaceae. The record is from RNAcentral.
UUACCAAAUGAUAUUAGAGUACGGGUUGUACAUUUCAUCGCUUGGUUAGUGGCAUGAAGGAGAGUACGGGUUGUACAUUUUAUCAUCUGGUUGGUGGCAUGAAGAUGAGUUACUUCUUCACCUGGUUGGUGGCAUGAGUGGCAAGUUUCCAAAUGAUAUUAGAGUACUGGUUGUACAUUUCAUCACCUGGUUGGUGGCAUGAAUGAGAGUACGAGUUGUACAUUUCAUCACUUGGUUGGUGGCAUGAAGAAG